Molecule: transfer RNA, 70 nt
Filed under: Parcoblatta uhleriana
Lineage: Eukaryota; Metazoa; Arthropoda; Insecta; Blattodea; Blattellidae
Description: tRNA-Val
Source: RNAcentral
CAAGUUAAUCUUAUUAGUUAAGAAUUACAUUUACAUUGUAGUUUUGAUCGUGCAAUUCGAUAUAACUUGA